AACUAAUGAACUUGAAUAAGUAUAUAUUUUGAAAAUAUAUAAAAGAAAUAAUAACUUUCUAUUAGUUU
RNAcentral lists this transfer RNA (68 nucleotides) under Gonocephalum kochi. RNAcentral's name for it is "tRNA-Ser". Lineage: Eukaryota; Metazoa; Arthropoda; Insecta; Coleoptera; Tenebrionidae. The record is from RNAcentral.